This 649-nucleotide ribosomal RNA is filed under the name uncultured Actinomycetes bacterium. RNAcentral's name for it is "bacterial SSU rRNA". It matches the Rfam family "Bacterial small subunit ribosomal RNA", at positions 229 to 888 of the family's 1533-position model. Lineage: Bacteria; Bacillati; Actinomycetota; Actinomycetes. The record is from RNAcentral.
AUUCGCGGCCUAUCAGCUUGUUGGUGAGGUAAUGGCUCACCAAGGCGUCGACGGGUAGCCGGCCUGAGAGGGUGACCGGCCACACUGGGACUGAGACACGGCCCAGACUCCUACGGGAGGCAGCAGUGGGGAAUAUUGCACAAUGGGCGCAAGCCUGAUGCAGCAACGCCGCGUGAGGGAUGACGGCCUUCGGGUUGUAAACCUCUUUUAGCAGGGAAGAAGCGAAAGUGACGGUACCUGCAGAAAAAGCACCGGCUAACUACGUGCCAGCAGCCGCGGUAAUACGUAGGGUGCAAGCGUUAUCCGGAAUUAUUGGGCGUAAAGAGCUCGUAGGCGGUUUGUCGCGUCUGCUGUGAAAACUGGAGGCUCAACCUCCAGCCUGCAGUGGGUACGGGCAGACUAGAGUGCGGUAGGGGAGAUUGGAAUUCCUGGUGUAGCGGUGGAAUGCGCAGAUAUCAGGAGGAACACCGAUGGCGAAGGCAGAUCUCUGGGCCGUAACUGACGCUGAGGAGCGAAAGGGUGGGGAGCAAACAGGCUUAGAUACCCUGGUAGUCCACCCCGUAAACGUUGGGAACUAGUUGUGGGGUCCAUUCCACGGAUUCCGUGACGCAGCUAACGCAUUAAGUUCCCCGCCUGGGGAGUACGGAAU